UCAAAGAAGUCAACCAAACAUGUAUCAACUUCAAUAAUUCAUAAAUCAGUGACAACAUAUGAGAAAUGAAUGGGAUCAAAACCAUGUCAAAGCUUAAUAUGUCUACUAAUCACAUGUCAAAUUUCAAGUUCAUCCAAUUAGGUAUGAGAAUUUCACAAAUGAAAUGGGAACAUGUAUCACAAAAGUCAACAUUUUGGUCAAACAGGGGAGAAAAUCCCAAACAAUUAGGAAAUGCC
This 236-nucleotide long non-coding RNA is filed under the name Lathyrus oleraceus (garden pea). Its description in RNAcentral is "Pisum sativum (pea) long non-coding RNA (PSAT_LNC007333)". The record is from RNAcentral. Lineage: Eukaryota; Viridiplantae; Streptophyta; Magnoliopsida; Fabales; Fabaceae.